Molecule: long non-coding RNA, 297 nt
Organism: Quercus lobata
Lineage: Eukaryota; Viridiplantae; Streptophyta; Magnoliopsida; Fagales; Fagaceae
Exons: 2
Source: RefSeq, a predicted model, not a curated record
AUAAAUGAAAAAUAAAAUAAAAUUAUCAUAUCCCAUGUGCAUAGCUUAGUGGGAGUCUGGACGUUGUCCUCCAUGCAGUGCAAUUAUCCAAUUGCUAAAUUUAUUAGUACUUUAUGACCUUGUGUAUAUAUUACAGUAUUAUCUUGAGAAAAAUCUUGAUGCGAGGAUGAGGGAGGUAGAACGUGAGGCCGAGCUGAUAUGCUGAAGGCUCCUAAAAUUAAUGCCAAAUCGAAGAUGUCUAAGGCCGAGAAGGAAGCCCUGAAGAAGCAGAAAAGGCAAGCAUUUCAGCAGGCAAAA